CGGGGGGAGCAAGCGUUGUUCGGAUUUACUGGGCGUAAAGGGCGCGUAGGCGGCGCAACAAGUCACUUGUGAAAUCUCCGGGCUUAACUCGGAGCGGCCAAGUGAUACUGUCGUGCUAGAGUGCGGAAGGGGCAACUGGAAUUCUCGGUGUAGCGGUGAAAUGCGUAGAUAUCGAGAGGAACACCUGCGGCGAAGGCGGGUUGCUGGGCCGACACUGACGCUGAGGCGCGAAAGCCAGGGGAGCGAACGGGAUUAGAUACCCCGGUAGUCCUGGCCUUAAACGAUGGAUGCUUGGUGUCCGGGGUUACAUAGUCCCCGGGUGCCGUCGCUAACGCCUUAAGCAUCCCGCCUGGGGAGUACGCACGCAGUGUG
RNAcentral lists this ribosomal RNA (372 nucleotides) under uncultured organism. Its description in RNAcentral is "bacterial SSU rRNA". It matches the Rfam family "Bacterial small subunit ribosomal RNA", at positions 526 to 896 of the family's 1533-position model. The record is from RNAcentral.